This 343-nucleotide unclassified non-coding RNA is filed under the name soil metagenome. RNAcentral's name for it is "partial contains 5.8S ribosomal RNA, internal transcribed spacer 2, and large subunit ribosomal RNA". The stretch from base 1 to 120 matches the Rfam family "5.8S ribosomal RNA", at positions 35 to 154 of the family's 154-position model. The record is from RNAcentral.
GAUGAAGAACGUAGCGAAAUGCGAUAAGUAAUGUGAAUUGCAGAAUCCAGUGAAUCAUCGAAUCUUUGAACGCACAUUGCGCCCGCCAGCAUUCUGGCGGGCAUGCCUGUUCGAGCGUCAUUUCAACCCUCGACCUCCCUUUGGGGAAGUCGGCGUUGGGGACCGGCAGCACACCGCCGGCCCUGAAAUGGAGUGGCGGCCCGUCCGCGGCGACCUCUGCGUAGUAAACCAACUCGCACCGGAACCCCGACGUGGCCACGCCGUAAAACACCCAACUUCUGAGCGUUGACCUCGAAUCAGGUAGGACUACCCGCUGAACUUAAGCAUAUCAAUAAGCGGAGGA